Molecule: ribosomal RNA, 255 nt
Filed under: uncultured bacterium
Lineage: Bacteria
Description: partial 16S ribosomal RNA
Rfam family: Bacterial small subunit ribosomal RNA
Source: RNAcentral
UAGCAUGGGGUGCAAACGUUGCUCGGAAUUAUUGGGCGUAAAGCGCACGUAGGCGGUUCGUUAAGUCGGAUGUGAAAGCCCUCGGCUCAACUGAGGAAGUGCACCCGAAACUGGCGAGCUUGAGUACGAAAGAGGAUCGCGGAAUUCCCGGUGUAGAGGUGAAAUUCGUAGAUAUCGGGAGGAACACCGGUGGCGAAGGCGGCGAUCUGGGAUCGAUACUGACGCUGAGGUGCGAAAGCGUGGGGAGCAAACAGG